UGGGGAAUAUUGCACAAUGGGGGAAACCCUGAUGCAGCAACGCCGCGCGAAGGAUGAAGGUUUUCGGAUUGUAAACUUCUUUAGUCAGGGACGAAUAAAUGACGGUACCUGAAGAAUAAGCCACGGCUAACUACGUGCCAGCAGCCGCGGUAAUACGUAGGUGGCAAGCGUUGUCCGGAAUUACUGGGUGUAAAGGGCGUGUAGGCGGGAAUGUAAGUCAGAUGUGAAAUCCCAGGGCUUAACCCUGGAGCUGCAUCUGAAACUAUGUUUCUUGAGUGCCGGAGAGGAAAGCGGAAUUCCUGGUGUAGCGGUGAAAUGCGUAGAUAUUAGGAUGAACACCAGUGGCGAAGGCGGCUUUCUGGACGGUAACUGACGCUGAGGCGCGAAAGCGUGGGGAGCAAACA
Molecule: ribosomal RNA, 404 nt
Filed under: uncultured bacterium
Lineage: Bacteria
Description: bacterial SSU rRNA
Rfam family: Bacterial small subunit ribosomal RNA
Source: RNAcentral